Molecule: non-coding RNA, 73 nt
Organism: Baffinella frigidus
Lineage: Eukaryota; Cryptophyceae; Cryptomonadales; Baffinellaceae
Source: the annotation of a GenBank genome assembly
ACCCCCAUGGCUCAGAUGGCAAAGCGCAUGUCUAGUAAGCAUGAGGUCACGAGUUCGAGCCUAGGUGGAGGCA